GAAAAUGUUCUUGAAUCAUGUAAAACUUCAAAUUUAUUCAAGAAUGUAUUAAAUUAUCCAGAAAGUAUAAGCUUGGAGUUAUCAUUAAAAAGUGCCUUGCACCAGAUAUUUUCAAUAAUUAGCUAUCGAGACCAUCCUCAGUUGUUCGGGCUGGAAUAUACAAG
Molecule: long non-coding RNA, 164 nt
Organism: Dendronephthya gigantea
Lineage: Eukaryota; Metazoa; Cnidaria; Anthozoa; Malacalcyonacea; Nephtheidae
Exons: 3
Source: RefSeq, a predicted model, not a curated record